GCCGUGCGUGGUGGCGCACGCCUGUAGUCCCAGCUACUCGGGAGGCUGAGGCAGGAGGAUCGCUUGAGCCAGGAGUUCUGGGCUGUAGUGCGCUAUGCCGAUCGGGUGUCCGCGCUAAGUUCGGCAUCAAUAUGGUGACCUCCCGGGAGUGGGGGACCACCAGGUUGCCUAAGGAGGGGUGAACCGGGCCAGGUCGGAAACAGAGCAGGUCAAAACUCCCGUGCUGAUCAUACGAAAAGGAAUCAUUUUUAUAUUUGUUAUUAUAUCUAAUUUUUAUACAACAAAUAUAUUUUAU
This 295-nucleotide signal recognition particle RNA is filed under the name Neogale vison (American mink). RNAcentral's name for it is "Neovison vison (American mink) Metazoan signal recognition particle RNA (ENSNVIG00000007947.1)". It matches the Rfam family "Metazoan signal recognition particle RNA". From Rfam's summary of the family: The signal recognition particle (SRP) is a universally conserved ribonucleoprotein. It is involved in the co-translational targeting of proteins to membranes. The record is from Rfam by way of RNAcentral. Lineage: Eukaryota; Metazoa; Chordata; Mammalia; Carnivora; Mustelidae.